Molecule: long non-coding RNA, 2545 nt
Organism: Syngnathus acus (greater pipefish)
Lineage: Eukaryota; Metazoa; Chordata; Actinopteri; Syngnathiformes; Syngnathidae
Exons: 3
Source: RefSeq, a predicted model, not a curated record
CCCUCCGUGUCAGGUGUCCUCCGAGGCAACACGGACUCCAGAAACAGGAAGUCCUUCGCGUCCUUCCGGCGAGGCGGCCGCGGCCUCGCUUUGGAGAGGAGGAACAGUUUGUAGCCCAGGAAGAGGCAGUUGAGCAGGAGCAGCACGAUUACAGCCGGGAUGAGCAGCAGGACCACCAGGGUGAGGCUGACCACCGGGUAACCCUCGCUCAAAUUGGGGCUGGGUGGUGUGCUCUGACCUGGCUGCGACAUUUAAUCACGGACACCCCUUCACCACGCCGUGUAGAUGAGAACCAUGAUGACUGCUGCAAAGCUACGCUGUCGCUGUCCACUCGGGGCUGGUGCUGAAAAUGCUCCGGCUUGCCUUGACUGUGCCGCUGUCGACUGUUAAAUAGUGGCUCGGCUUCAGCUCGCUUUUCUACUCCACGCUCAGCCAGCCCACGCGGCGUGACGGAGCUUCCCCGGCGUUGGCCCCUCCCACAGCAUGGCGGGAUCCCGCCGAGUGGCGGCCCAUUGGUUGCCGGGCGCGGAUGUUGCAGCCCUCUCGCGCCUUGUGGAGCGUCGCUUCCGGAGCUCCGACAGGCACACGGCCAGAAGCGAGCGAGUCACGACUCAGAACACACAGUCCUCUUUUUUUUUUUUUUUUUGUUCCAGACAGAACAAAUACACGAAUCCAGACAGACCAGCAGGACGUGUCCUCAAAUAGCCUCACCGAGACACGCACUACAUACAUUACUAGACAGAUAAUUGGAUGGAUGGAUGGAUGGAUAGAUGGAUAGAUAGUAGGGCAGUGGGUUGAAUAUAAAAACUGGUUCUCUACAAACACUUUGCUAGUGAGAUGUUCCGUAACGCCACCAGCUGAAGACUCCCACUUCCAUAAGAGCAGAAAAAGAAGGCAGGCGAUGACACAAAUGAAGCGACAUAACCUGGUGACUUCAUCACCACAAGUAGAGUCAUGGCGUCUAUUUGGAGAAACUGGUGGACAAAGGAGAGUGUGGGACAUACAUGGCAACGCUUCCUCCGCCUCCCGGCCAAUCAGGGCCGGAUUUCCCAGGGAUUCUCGUUGCUGUCUGGCAGGAAGCGGAAGACCAAUUUGGUUCGAAGAGAGCAUCACGCCUCCUCUUCUCCUGCAGUGAUUCAGUAGAGACUUUUUUUUUUUUUUUCCUUUCCGCACGGCUGCAGCCUACGGGAACAGUCUGACUGGAGUUGGCCUUGCAAUAUAUGCACACUAGCACAGAUGCCACUAUGGUCAUAAUUACACAUUAUGGCAGUAUGACCUUGAUUUCCAUAUUUCUGUGUUCUGUAAAGGACUAUUGGAACAAUUCAUUAUAGCCAUCUAGCAGGUGUACCUAGUGAUGUGUCCCAUCAAUUCAUCCAUCGAAUAGUCGGCUGGAUGGAUAACAAAACGAUAGAUGAUGAUAGAUUGAUUGACAGAGCAGUUACGCAAGUCAAGACAAAACACCGUCCCUGUGGGACUUGGAUGAUAAAUUGCGUUUCCCUCUUUACAGCCGCCACAGUAUAUAUUUGAUUGCGCAAUCUCCACAUAGCGCUGUUAUACAACACAGUUUGUACGAGUGGGUAUUUUUAACGCUAUUGAGGCUCGAGUGUUGGGCCAGACGUUAAAAAGCGCAACCUUUUGUCUGUGCUUUCAGGUGGGAGGUUUUUAAUCAACAACUCCGGCGUCUGAAGUGGGGAAUAGGUGACUCACCGACUCUCGCCAUCUGUCUCGCCAUAAGUAAAAAGUGGUCCUGAAUAGGCGUUAUGCAGGAGGAACACUGGCAACCAUCUAAGAUUUUUACUUUUUUCAAUUUUCGACUUGGUGCUGAACUUGUGAACUUAACCACCCUCACCAAGAGGGGGCAGCAUUGUUUCAGUUUGGACACUGCGGCCAACCUCAUCACUCAUCUGACCUUUGAGCAAGCAACAAAUGUCUGUCCUCCUAUCUCCAUUUAGGUCGAGCAAUCUGAUGAGAAGAAAAGUCGAGUCUCCUAUCAACCAAACCAACGAAAUAAAAAAAGUACAUUUUGUUCAAUGUUGGUUUGAUGGACAUGUUGUGAAGAGGGUGGAAUUAAUGAAAAUAUGAUGUUCUCUCGGUUAUUUUGACACCCCCGCCCCGACCAUUUUGUCUGCCACUUCCUCCCACGCUCACGCUGAAAGAGCGCCGGUGUCUGAACAAUGGCGAGACGGUUGCUCGUUAGACAGAUGGCUCCAGCUUGGAAGGCGACGCUGAAAGCCAGUCACGCUCUGUUCUCUUCUCGCUGCACACUGACUGAACAUUAACCUGACCGAGUAGUUUGGAUUAUGAAAUUGUACUAAAGUGUCUUAAUGCAGCUGCAGUGUAUUUGUCUAAUGAUUCAUGUUGCACGAUCAUGUCCUUCUUACUCGUUCUGUAAAGAUGAGCCUUUUUUGUCGGGCUUAGUGGUAAGGGGUGCAUUAUGGAAUCGAAAAACUAUUAAAUGUUAAUUUUCUGCAGCAAUUGUGUGUAAAUGCUGAAAUGCAAGACCAUGUACAGAAAGACUUUUUUUUAAAUAAAAAAAAGAAAUGAC